CUACGGGGGGCUGCAGUGGGGAAUAUUGGACAAUGGGGGCAACCCUGAUCCAGCCAUGCCGCGUGUGUGAAGAAGGCCCUCGGGUUGUAAAGCACUUUCAGUGAGGAAGAACGCCUGGUGGUUAAUACCCAUCAGGAAAGACAUCACUCACAGAAGAAGCACCGGCUAACUCCGUGCCAGCAGCCGCGGUAAUACGGAGGGUGCGAGCGUUAAUCGGAAUUACUGGGCGUAAAGCGCGCGUAGGUGGCUUGAUAAGCCGGUUGUGAAAGCCCCGGGCUCAACCUGGGAACGGCAUCCGGAACUGUCAAGCUAGAGUGCAGGAGAGGAAGGUAGAAUUCCCGGUGUAGCGGUGAAAUGCGUAGAGAUCGGGAGGAAUACCAGUGGCGAAGGCGGCCUUCUGGACUGACACUGACACUGAGGUGCGAAAGCGUGGGUAGCAAACAGGAUUAGAUACCCCUGUAGUC
Molecule: ribosomal RNA, 464 nt
Filed under: Vreelandella stevensii
Lineage: Bacteria; Pseudomonadati; Pseudomonadota; Gammaproteobacteria; Oceanospirillales; Halomonadaceae
Description: partial 16S ribosomal RNA
Rfam family: Bacterial small subunit ribosomal RNA
Source: RNAcentral